Molecule: ribosomal RNA, 471 nt
Filed under: uncultured bacterium
Lineage: Bacteria
Description: partial 16S ribosomal RNA
Rfam family: Bacterial small subunit ribosomal RNA
Source: RNAcentral
GACGAACGCUGGCGGCGUGCUUAACACAUGCAAGUCGAACGCUGAAGCUUGGUGCUUGCACUGGGUGGAUGAGUGGCGAACGGGUGAGUAAUACGUGAGUAACCUGCCCUUGACUCUGGGAUAAGCCUGGGAAACUGGGUCUAAUACUGGAUAUGACAUGCCACUGCAUGGUGGUGUGUGGAAAGGGUUUUACUGGUUUUGGAUGGGCUCACGGCCUAUCAGCUUGUUGGUGGGGUAAUGGCCUACCAAGGCGACGACGGGUAGCCGGCCUGAGAGGGUGACCGGCCACACUGGGACUGAGACACGGCCCAGACUCCUACGGGAGGCAGCAGUGGGGAAUAUUGCACAAUGGGCGGAAGCCUGAUGCAGCGACGCCGCGUGAGGGAUGACGGCCUUCGGGUUGUAAACCUCUUUCAGCACGGAAGAAGCGAGAGUGACGGUACGUGCAGAAGAAGCGCCGGCGAACUACGU